GCCCUGAUAGCUGAGUGGAAAGUGCUCUGGACUCGUAAUCCUAGGGGUCCGGGUUCAAUCCCCGGUCAUGGCA
Procambarus clarkii (red swamp crayfish) is the source of this 73-nucleotide non-coding RNA. Lineage: Eukaryota; Metazoa; Arthropoda; Malacostraca; Decapoda; Cambaridae. The record is from the annotation of a RefSeq genome assembly.